Molecule: transfer RNA, 88 nt
Filed under: Candidatus Woesebacteria bacterium
Lineage: Bacteria; Candidatus Woeseibacteriota
Description: tRNA-Ser
Rfam family: tRNA
About the family: Transfer RNA (tRNA) molecules are approximately 80 nucleotides in length. Their secondary structure includes four short double-helical elements and three loops (D, anti-codon, and T loops). Further hydrogen bonds mediate the characteristic L-shaped molecular structure. tRNAs have two regions of fundamental functional importance: the anti-codon, which is responsible for specific mRNA codon recognition, and the 3' end, to which the tRNAs corresponding amino acid is attached (by aminoacyl-tRNA synthetases). tRNAs cope with the degeneracy of the genetic code in two manners: having more than one tRNA (with a specific anti-codon) for a particular amino acid; and 'wobble' base-pairing, i.e. permitting non-standard base-pairing at the 3rd anti-codon position.
Source: RNAcentral
GGAGGGAUCGCAUAGUGGUCUAGUGCAGUUGCCUACUAAGCAGCCGUGUCGCAAGAUACCGAGGGUUCGAAUCCCUCUCCCUCCGCCA